GUGGGGAAUCUUCCGCAAUGGGCGCAAGCCUGACGGAGCAACGCCGCGUGAGUGAAGAAGGUUUUCGGAUCGUAAAGCUCUGUUGACAGGGACGAGAGGAUGCAUCAGGAAAUGGGUGUAUUAGGACGGUACCUGUCGAGGAAGCCACGGCUAACUACGUGCCAGCAGCCGCGGUAAUACGUAGGUGGCGAGCGUUGUCCGGAAUUAUUGGGCGUAAAGGGAGCGCAGGUGGGAUUGUAAGUCAGUCUUAAAAGUUCGGGGCUCAACCCCGUGAUGGGAUUGAAACUAUAAUUCUUGAGUGCAGGAGAGGAAAGCGGAAUUCCUAGUGUAGCGGUGAAAUGCGUAGAUAUUAGGAGGAACACCAGUGGCGAAGGCGGCUUUCUGGACUGUAACUGACACUGAGGCUCGAAAGCGUGGGGAGCGAACAGG
This 429-nucleotide ribosomal RNA is filed under the name uncultured rumen bacterium. Its description in RNAcentral is "bacterial SSU rRNA". It matches the Rfam family "Bacterial small subunit ribosomal RNA", at positions 354 to 776 of the family's 1533-position model. The record is from RNAcentral.